AUGGUGCAAUGCACAUGGAUUCUGGCUCUGGUAAUGGACAGGAAGCAGUCCCUGGAGACAGGGCCACACUUACCCUAAUGACAGUCUCCGGGGUCUUCAUCCAGCCUGAGCACCCUGCAUGGAGCCUGGCCUGAAGUGCUCCAGCUCAGAGGAGGAGGAGGGAGAGGCAGGCACCUUCUGUCCAACAGGAAGAAGGAACCCAAGACUGAAGACCCACAGCUAAAGAUGAUGAAACUAAGACUAAGAGAAGUUCACCAACUUGUCCAAGGCCACAACUCACAGUGGAAUCUGAACUCGGCUCCAUAUGACUCGAGUCCCACGAUCUUUUCAUGUUCCCUGCUACCUCUCCCUCUCAGCCUGCUACAGUGAUGGGACAUUUAUGAACUUGCAAAAUGCUUUCUCACAAAUUAUCUUAUUUGAUUUUCACAAACAUGCGUGAGGCAGGUAUAAGUUCUGUUCUAUGGAUGAACAAUUGGUCUUCAGGUAAAGAACAACUUGUCCAAGGUCAAAUAGCUGAUAAGUAUCUGGGAACUGGGACCUAAAUACACAUUUGAUGAGUAACUUUGCCACAAUAUCUUAUCUGGACACUUGAAAACAUACUCCAGCCCUGUCAUAAACCCAGGAGAAUUUGAAGAUGUCCCUCCCUACUUACAGCCUGGUUUCAUGAUCACUAGAAACUUGUUUAACUAAACUCCUUUCUGUUCUCAGGAUGGCUCAGGGGACUGAGCUGGGAAAAAAAAGGCCUCAGAAGGGAAAUGGAGGCCCAGAAAGCUUUGGUGAGCAGCUCGAGAUUACACAGGACAUGGAGACCAGAACUCAUGUUUCCUCAAAUAGUUCAUUUCCAGGGGGCUUUUAGGCUAUUACUUCUAUAAUCUGCCCUCUGUCUGCCUCAGGGACUCUCCCCUCCAACCCCCAUUUGGACCAUGAACUGAUGCCAAUGGCACCAAGGAAGCAUCAACUGAUACUGGGCAGAAGGGCAGGGCAGUGGCCCCUGGGAGUCUUCAUGGCUCCUCUGGCAGAAAGUACCUGGAGGCAUCAGCUCAUGGACCUGGAGCAUAUCAGCAAGGAACAGAGAUAAACUGUACUGCAUCACCACCCUGGCACUACUCAUGAGAAACUUUCCCAACCAUUAUGCUUCGUUGACUUGGCCGGGAAGGAGUUAACACACAACAUUCUGACCCUCUCGGAGGCUAUUACGCUGCUGUCGCAAGAUCGACGAGGGGAGAAAAAUGAAAACAGUGCACAGGAAACAAUGGAGGGCAAAUGGGACUCUUUUAGAACCGGAUCCACUGAUACGUCAGGCCAAGGAGAAAUGACCACAAGCUCUGAAAAGUGGAGAGCUCCCCCAGACAGCAAAGCCAGCUGCCCCGGCACCUCUGCACAGUCCUUUUCUGAAUCUGCCCCUCACCGUGCUCCCCACCUGCACCCCGUCCUCAGAACAGAUUGCCUUGCCUGACCUCCUGAGGCCGAUGGAGAUGGUGACGUGACCUCCUUUGCCCUCCAUCACUGUGCCUCCCACACCUCUGCGCAGCUCGUUCAUUCUCUCUCCCUCCACUCUGACUUAAGGGAAGAGGAAUUUUAAAACCAACCUCAUCCCUUCCCACCUCCUCAGGAAACUCACUCCUUUGCUUACCCUCUCUCCGCUUUUAAAAACAACGAUAAAAAUGCCCCUUUCGCCUGUGAUUCCUUCUAAGCACAGACCCUUCUUGCUUAAGCCCCUGUGAGUUAAUUUUCAAUCUCACAGCUCUUCUCAAUCCAACAGUAUUUUUGCAGCUUUCAGCCUCGGGAAGCUCUUGAUGGGCUCGUCUGCCACGCUACCAACUUCCUUCCUGGAAGUCCCUCCCCGUCUUCUGCGUCUGCCUUGUGCCCAUUCUCCGUCUGGGGUCAGUCCUCUGCCGUCCGGCAGGCCCAUCCUCCACUCCCCAUUAUGGUCCCUCUUUACAGCCUCAUCUGGUCUCUCAUUACACUCUGCAGUAGCCUGAUGGUCAGCUCUUUAAUCAAAUCCCAUUCAGUUCCCUAAAGUACCAAAGUUCCCCAUGAGUCCCUAGAACAGUGUCCUAAAUCAGACACGUCACCCUCUCUACCCCAAUACUGGCCCCACUUCCUCACCA
Long non-coding RNA from Gorilla gorilla gorilla (western lowland gorilla), 2111 nucleotides. RefSeq lists it as uncharacterized. NCBI's taxonomy places the organism in Eukaryota, Metazoa, Chordata, Mammalia, Primates, Hominidae. The record is from RefSeq and is a predicted model, not a curated record. The transcript has 5 exons.